This 460-nucleotide ribosomal RNA is filed under the name uncultured bacterium. Its description in RNAcentral is "partial 16S ribosomal RNA". It matches the Rfam family "Bacterial small subunit ribosomal RNA", at positions 338 to 795 of the family's 1533-position model. The record is from RNAcentral.
CCUACGGGAGGCAGCAGUGAGGAAUAUUGGUCAAUGGUCUGACGACUGAACCAGCCAAGUCGCGUGAGGGAAGAAUGUCCUAUGUGUCGUAAACCUCUUUUGUCAGGGAGCAACGCCUGCUACGCGUAGCCGGACUGGGAGAACCUGAAGAAAAGCCAUGGGCUACCCCCGGGCACCCAGCCGCGGUAAUACGGAGGUUGCGAGCGUUAUCCGGAUUUAUUGGGUUAAAUGGUUGCGUAGGCGGAAUGCCAAGUCAGCGGUAAAAGCGCGGGCCUCAACCCCGCUCCGCCGUUGAAACUGGCAGUCUCGAGUGGGCGAGAAGUAUGCGGAAUGCGUGGUGUAGCGGUGAAAUGCAUAGAUAUCGCGCAGAACUCCGAUUGCGAAGGCAGCAUGCCGGCGCCCAACUGACGCUGAGGCACGAAAGCGUGGGUAUCGAACAGGAUUAGAUACCCGGGUAGUC